CCUAGGGUGGCAGCAGUGGGGAAUAUUGGACAAUGGGCGAAAGCCUGAUCCAGCCAUGCCGCGUGUGUGAAGAAGGCCUUCGGGUUGUAAAGCACUUUCAGUGGGGAAGAAAGCCUUGGGGCUAAUACCCUCGAGGAAGGACAUCACCCACAGAAGAAGCACCGGCUAACUCCGUGCCAGCAGCCGCGGUAAUACGGAGGGUGCGAGCGUUAAUCGGAAUUACUGGGCGUAAAGCGCGCGUAGGCGGUCUGAUAAGCCGGUUGUGAAAGCCCCGGGCUCAACCUGGGAACGGCAUCCGGAACUGUCAGGCUAGAGUGCAGGAGAGGAAGGUAGAAUUCCCGGUGUAGCGGUGAAAUGCGUAGAGAUCGGGAGGAAUACCAGUGGCGAAGGCGGCCUUCUGGACUGACACUGACGCUGAGGUGCGAAAGCGUGGGUAGCAAACAGGAUUAGAUACCCCAGUAGUCC
RNAcentral lists this ribosomal RNA (465 nucleotides) under Vreelandella stevensii. RNAcentral's name for it is "partial 16S ribosomal RNA". It matches the Rfam family "Bacterial small subunit ribosomal RNA", at positions 338 to 796 of the family's 1533-position model. Lineage: Bacteria; Pseudomonadati; Pseudomonadota; Gammaproteobacteria; Oceanospirillales; Halomonadaceae. The record is from RNAcentral.